AAAAUUGAAAAAAAUAAUCGAUGAACACCCAUCGGUGUUCAUCCUUAAGCGACUCGGAUUCGAUUCAAUACUACAUGAAACUCAUAACUUCCAACAUAAAACAAUCGCAACCCUCUCAUACUUCCAAACCCUCAACUGGAUUCAGCGAACAAUAGCUUUACCUCAGCAAAUCUGAACCCCAAAAGAAAGUCUAACCUAGUUUAUAAUCCUUUUUCUAUACCACCAUCAACA
Molecule: long non-coding RNA, 231 nt
Filed under: Lathyrus oleraceus (garden pea)
Lineage: Eukaryota; Viridiplantae; Streptophyta; Magnoliopsida; Fabales; Fabaceae
Description: Pisum sativum (pea) long non-coding RNA (PSAT_LNC021694)
Source: RNAcentral